This 512-nucleotide unclassified non-coding RNA is filed under the name Hevea brasiliensis (rubber tree). The record is from RNAcentral. Lineage: Eukaryota; Viridiplantae; Streptophyta; Magnoliopsida; Malpighiales; Euphorbiaceae.
CAAUAACUCAAUCACUUUAACCAAAUCCUUCUCUACAACUUUCGCACCUUUUGAAAUUAUCGAUUCGAACGCAGACACCUGUCCAGCAAGCCUAUCAACUUCAAAACUGAUGUCUGCUAUAGUUUUAGCAGCCUUCUCCAUCUUAGCAUUCUUUCUCAACUCAAGGUACCGUUUCUCUUGGCAAAGUGGAUCUUCAACUACAACAAUCUUCGACUUAUCUUUAACACCGGAAAUAUCAAGGAAAGCAUUGUUGUCUCUUUCUUUGUCUUUGUAUAAUAACUUCUGAUCUUGGUGGUGCAGCCCUGUCGGCCCCGUUAACAUCUUCUUCAAUUCACCAAAAGUUGCUUGAGGACUGAUAUUGAUUUCAUGGUAAAUUGACCCAUACUUAACCCGGACCCGAAUCGGAGGUGGAGGAGGACGGUUUUCCGCAUCCGGGUUACGCUUCUGAACCAACAUUCCACCGUGCUGCUGCCGACAACGAAUGGGAAGUCCGACCCGGUGGAAUGUUGGUU